ACUCGUAGCAGAAGUGGACCAUCCCUCUGAUAAUCUUGGUGGCCUUCUCUGGACUGACUCCAACAAGUCCCUGUCCUUCCUGUGCUGGGGACUCCAGAGCUGGUGGCAGCUCCCACCUGAGUGUGGCAGAGCGGCACAAUCACCUCCUUGAUGCUGCAGCCUCACAGAAUCAUUUAGCACCAUAAAAUACAAUAAUAGAAUCAUUUGGGUUGGAAAAGCCCUCUCAGAUCAUCAAGUCCAACCCAGCACUGCCAAUCCCAGUGCUAAACCACAUCCCCCACCUGCACUGUGAAGAAAAUCCUCCACAAGCCCGCGGGGAAGGCUGCUGAACAACAACUUACGAAGCUCCCAAAACAUUUAGCUGGAACCAGGAAAUACAGCCUUCAGCCUCAGUCUGAGGAAGGAAAUAGCACUCUUGAUGCAACCAGGCUACUGGUAAAGGACACAGGAUCCAGACCAGGCCUGGAGCUGGUGGUGGGAUAGGUGUCUGAGCAGACAGCUGCAGUCCAGGAAGCCCAGCCACCUUCGACAGGAAAACAAAAUCUGUCUCAUGCUGUUAAGCUGCCUGCAAAACAUGGGAAUAUCUCCUCUGGGUGUUGGAGAAAGAACAGCUGACAGGAAUCACUUGACCACAACUCCUGUGCUAAAAGCAGGAACCACACUGCAGGUCUCAUAGGCUUUUUUGGGCUGCAGGGCUUAUGCCCAAGCAAAAUUCCAGCAAUUCCAAGGGCAGAGAAGCUUUGGCUAGUACCUAAACUUUAAGGUAACUCCUGAAGCUUUGCCCAUCAGCCCAACUCUACGUGCUCAGCCACCCCUUCUCCCUCACCACCAUUCCAUCCAGCUCCUUUGUGCAACCCAAGCCUGUUCUGCAUUGCUCUAUACUGGAAAAUGCAAAAAAAAAGGUUUGAAUAUUCCCACUUAGUGGGAAGAUAUCCGGGCUCAAAUGCUCUUCUCCAGCGUCUGGCCAGUUAUUUCAAAUUUAAAAAUUAAAAUGUUGAAAAGGAAGUGGAGUGGGUUUGAGUGCCCUUUGGUCAAGGGAGCCAAUAAAGCUCAACUUUUGUAGUUUUAUAUUACUAGCAAGGUGACACAUCCAUGUGAAUGAAUCCCCAACCUGGAAAUGUGGUAAUUAACCAGGGGAAGGAAUUAAUUCCCUAUUUAAAAAUAAGAAAUAAAAAAAUCCUGGCAUGACAGCAGCCUAUUAUUUGGCUCUCUCUGCAAUGGGGGAGCACUUGGAGCAAUCCCCAUCUCUACCCUUGGGAAUGCAAAAACAUACUGACUUGUGCCUUCAACUUUGACAGGCAGCAAUAGGCUGCAGCCAGUUGUUUGGAAAAGGAAAUUCAAUACUUGUGUUUCCAAAGUUUCCUUGCUUUCACAGUGUUCAAAACCCUCUCCAGGCAUUUGGAAGUGCUAAACACAUGCCUUAAAAACACUCUUAACUGCUCCUAAUGACUGGCCAGGGAGGUU
Molecule: non-coding RNA, 1464 nt
Organism: Taeniopygia guttata (zebra finch)
Lineage: Eukaryota; Metazoa; Chordata; Aves; Passeriformes; Estrildidae
Source: RefSeq, a predicted model, not a curated record